UCCAGACUCCUACGGGAGGCAGCAGUGGGGGAUAUUGCACAAUGGGGGGAACCCUGAUGCAGCGACGCCGCGUGGGUGAAGGAGCGUUUCGGCGCGUAAAGCCCUAUCGGCAGGGAAGAAGGAGGACGGUACCUGACUAAGAAGCCCCGGCUAACUACGUGCCAGCAGCCGCGGUAAUACGUAGGGGGCAAGCGUUAUCCGGAUUUACUGGGUGUAAAGGGGGCGCGGACGGCAGCGCAAGCCAGGAGUGAAAGCCCGGGGCCCAACCCCGGGACUGCUCUUGGAACUGCGCGGCUGGAGUGCAGGAGGGGCAGGCGGAAUUCCUGGUGUAGCGGUGAAAUGCGUAGAUAUCAGGAGGAACACCGGUGGCGAAGGCGGCCUGCUGGACUGCGACUGACGUUGAGGCCCGAAAGCGUGGGGAGCAAACAGGAUUAGAUACCCGAGUAC
RNAcentral lists this ribosomal RNA (447 nucleotides) under uncultured bacterium. RNAcentral describes it as "bacterial SSU rRNA". It matches the Rfam family "Bacterial small subunit ribosomal RNA", at positions 330 to 793 of the family's 1533-position model. The record is from RNAcentral.